GGGAUUGUAACUCAGUGGUAGAGUGCUUGCCUAGCAUGCAUGAGGCACUGGGUUGGAUCCUCAGCACCA
RNAcentral lists this transfer RNA (69 nucleotides) under Ictidomys tridecemlineatus (thirteen-lined ground squirrel). RNAcentral describes it as "Spermophilus tridecemlineatus (thirteen-lined ground squirrel) tRNA". It matches the Rfam family "tRNA". From Rfam's summary of the family: Transfer RNA (tRNA) molecules are approximately 80 nucleotides in length. Their secondary structure includes four short double-helical elements and three loops (D, anti-codon, and T loops). The record is from Rfam by way of RNAcentral. Lineage: Eukaryota; Metazoa; Chordata; Mammalia; Rodentia; Sciuridae.